Molecule: ribosomal RNA, 2259 nt
Filed under: Bacillus cereus VD048
Lineage: Bacteria; Bacillati; Bacillota; Bacilli; Caryophanales; Bacillaceae
Description: bacterial LSU rRNA
Rfam family: Bacterial large subunit ribosomal RNA
Source: RNAcentral
CGGAGCCGCAGCGAAAGCGAGUCUGAAUAGGGCGUUUAGUACGUGGUCGUAGACCCGAAACCAGGUGAUCUACCCAUGUCCAGGGUGAAGUUCAGGUAACACUGAAUGGAGGCCCGAACCCACGCACGUUGAAAAGUGCGGGGAUGAGGUGUGGGUAGCGGAGAAAUUCCAAUCGAACCUGGAGAUAGCUGGUUCUCCCCGAAAUAGCUUUAGGGCUAGCCUUAAGUGUAAGAGUCUUGGAGGUAGAGCACUGAUUGAACUAGGGGUCCUCAUCGGAUUACCGAAUUCAGUCAAACUCCGAAUGCCAAUGACUUAUCCUUAGGAGUCAGACUGCGAGUGAUAAGAUCCGUAGUCAAGAGGGAAACAGCCCAGAUCGCCAGCUAAGGUCCCAAAGUGUGUAUUAAGUGGAAAAGGAUGUGGAGUUGCUUAGACAACUAGGAUGUUGGCUCAGAAGCAGCCACCAUUUAAAGAGUGCGUAAUAGCUCACUAGUCGAGUGACUCUGCGCCGAAAAUGUACCGGGGCUAAAUACACCACCGAAGCUGCGAAUUGAUACCAAUGGUAUCAGUGGUAGGGGAGCGUUCUAAGUGCAGUGAAGUCAGACCGGAAGGACUGGUGGAGCGCUUAGAAGUGAGAAUGCCGGUAUGAGUAGCGAAAGACGGGUGAGAAUCCCGUCCACCGAAUGCCUAAGGUUUCCUGAGGAAGGCUCGUCCGCUCAGGGUUAGUCAGGACCUAAGCCGAGGCCGACAGGCGUAGGCGAUGGACAACAGGUUGAUAUUCCUGUACCACCUCUUUAUCGUUUGAGCAAUGGAGGGACGCAGAAGGAUAGAAGAAGCGUGCGAUUGGUUGUGCACGUCCAAGCAGUUAGGCUGAUAAGUAGGCAAAUCCGCUUAUCGUGAAGGCUGAGCUGUGAUGGGGAAGCUCCUUAUGGAGCGAAGUCUUUGAUUCCCCGCUGCCAAGAAAAGCUUCUAGCGAGAUAAAAGGUGCCUGUACCGCAAACCGACACAGGUAGGCGAGGAGAGAAUCCUAAGGUGUGCGAGAGAACUCUGGUUAAGGAACUCGGCAAAAUGACCCCGUAACUUCGGGAGAAGGGGUGCUUUCUUAACGGAAAGCCGCAGUGAAUAGGCCCAAGCGACUGUUUAGCAAAAACACAGGUCUCUGCGAAGCCGUAAGGCGAAGUAUAGGGGCUGACACCUGCCCGGUGCUGGAAGGUUAAGGAGAGGGGUUAGCGUAAGCGAAGCUCUGAACUGAAGCCCCAGUAAACGGCGGCCGUAACUAUAACGGUCCUAAGGUAGCGAAAUUCCUUGUCGGGUAAGUUCCGACCCGCACGAAAGGUGUAACGAUUUGGGCACUGUCUCAACCAGAGACUCGGUGAAAUUAUAGUACCUGUGAAGAUGCAGGUUACCCGCGACAGGACGGAAAGACCCCGUGGAGCUUUACUGUAGCCUGAUAUUGAAUUUUGGUACAGUUUGUACAGGAUAGGCGGGAGCCAUUGAAACCGGAGCGCUAGCUUCGGUGGAGGCGCUGGUGGGAUACCGCCCUGACUGUAUUGAAAUUCUAACCUACGGGUCUUAUCGACCCGGGAGACAGUGUCAGGUGGGCAGUUUGACUGGGGCGGUCGCCUCCUAAAGUGUAACGGAGGCGCCCAAAGGUUCCCUCAGAAUGGUUGGAAAUCAUUCGUAGAGUGCAAAGGCAUAAGGGAGCUUGACUGCGAGACCUACAAGUCGAGCAGGGACGAAAGUCGGGCUUAGUGAUCCGGUGGUUCCGCAUGGAAGGGCCAUCGCUCAACGGAUAAAAGCUACCCCGGGGAUAACAGGCUUAUCUCCCCCAAGAGUCCACAUCGACGGGGAGGUUUGGCACCUCGAUGUCGGCUCAUCGCAUCCUGGGGCUGUAGUCGGUCCCAAGGGUUGGGCUGUUCGCCCAUUAAAGCGGUACGCGAGCUGGGUUCAGAACGUCGUGAGACAGUUCGGUCCCUAUCCGUCGUGGGCGCAGGAAAUUUGAGAGGAGCUGUCCUUAGUACGAGAGGACCGGGAUGGACGCACCGCUGGUGUACCAGUUGUUCUGCCAAGGGCAUAGCUGGGUAGCUAUGUGCGGAAGGGAUAAGUGCUGAAAGCAUCUAAGCAUGAAGCCCCCCUCAAGAUGAGAUUUCCCAUAGCGUAAGCUAGUAAGAUCCCUGAAAGAUGAUCAGGUUGAUAGGUUCGAGGUGGAAGCAUGGUGACAUGUGGAGCUGACGAAUACUAAUAGAUCGAGGACUUAACCAU